AACGAACGCUGGCGGCAUGCCUAACACAUGCAAGUCGAACGAGACCUUCGGGUCUAGUGGCGCACGGGUGCGUAACGCGUGGGAACCUGCCCUUAGGUUCGGAAUAACUCCCCGAAAGGGGUGCUAAUACCGGAUAAUGUCUUCGGACCAAAGAUUUAUUGCCUUUGGAGGGGCCGGCGUUGGAUUAGCUAGUUGGUAGGGUAAAAGCCUACCAAGGCGACGAUUCAUAGCUUGUCUGAGAGGAUGAUCAGCCACACUGGGACUGAGACACGGCCCAGACUCCUACGGGAGGCAGCAGUGGGGAAUAUUGGACAAUGGGCGAAAGCCUGAUCCAGCAAUGCCGCGUGAGUGAUGAAGGCCUUAGGGUUGUAAAGCUCUUUUAACCGGGAUGAUAAUGACAGUACCGGGAGAAUAAGCCCCGGCUAACUCCGUG
Molecule: ribosomal RNA, 433 nt
Filed under: uncultured bacterium
Lineage: Bacteria
Description: partial 16S ribosomal RNA
Rfam family: Bacterial small subunit ribosomal RNA
Source: RNAcentral